CUGGCGGCGUGCCUAACACAUGCAAGUCGAACGGAGAACUUAAGGAUAGAGACUUCGGUCAAUUGAGAUUUGUUCUUAGUGGCGGACGGGCGAGUAACGCGUGAGUAACCUGCCUUUCAGAGGGGGACAACAGUUGGAAACGACUGCUAAUACCGCAUAACGUCAUUUGGGGGCAUCCCCGAGUGACCAAAGAUUUAUCGCUGAAAGAUGGACUCGCGUCCGAUUAGCUAGAUGGAGAGGUAACGGCUCACCAUGGCGACGAUGUCUAGGGGAACUGAGAGGUUAAUCCCCCACACUGGUACUGAGACACGGACCAGACUCCUACGGGAGGCAGCAGUGAGGAAUAUUGGACAAUGGAUGGAAAUCUGAUCCAGCCAUGCCGCGUGCAGGAUGACGGCCCUAUGGGUCUUAAACUGCUUUUGUACGGGAGCAAUAAGUUCUACGUGUAGGAUGAUGAGAGUACCGUACGAAUAAGCAUCGGCUAACUCCGUG
This 492-nucleotide ribosomal RNA is filed under the name uncultured bacterium. Its description in RNAcentral is "bacterial SSU rRNA". It matches the Rfam family "Bacterial small subunit ribosomal RNA", at positions 36 to 507 of the family's 1533-position model. The record is from RNAcentral.